GACGAACGCUGGCGGCGUGCUUAACACAAGCAAGUCGAACGGAAAGGCCCUGCUUUUGUGGGGUGCUCGAGUGGCGAACGGGUGAGUAACACGUGAGUAACCUGCCCUUGACUUUGGGAUAACUUCAGGAAACUGGGGCUAAUACCGGAUAGGAGCUCCUGCUGCAUGGUGGGGGUUGGAAAGUUUCGGCGGGUGGGGAUGGACUCGCGGCUUAUCAGCUUGUUGGUGGGGUAGUGGCUUACCAAGGCUUUGACGGGUAGCCGGCCUGAGAGGGUGACCGGCCACAUUGGGACUGAGAUACGGCCCAGACUCCUACGGGAGGCAGCAGUGGGGAAUAUUGCACAAUGGGCGGAAGCCUGAUGCAGCAACGCCGCGUGCGGGAUGACGGCCUUCGGGUUGUAAACCGCUUUCGCCUGUGACGAAGCGUGAGUGACGGUAAUGGGUAAAGAAGCACCGGCUAACUACGUG
RNAcentral lists this ribosomal RNA (468 nucleotides) under uncultured bacterium. RNAcentral describes it as "partial 16S ribosomal RNA". It matches the Rfam family "Bacterial small subunit ribosomal RNA", at positions 28 to 507 of the family's 1533-position model. The record is from RNAcentral.